GACGAACGCUGGCGGCGUGCUUAACACAUGCAAGUCGAACGGAAAGGCCCUGCUUUUGUGGGGUGCUCGAGUGGCGAACGGGUGAGUAACACGUGAGUAACCUGCCCUUGACUUUGGGAUAACUUCAGGAAACUGGGGCUAAUACCGGAUAGGAGCUCCUGCUGCAUGGUGGGGGUUGGAAAGUUUCGGCGGUUGGGGAUGGACUCGCGGCUUAUCAGCUUGUUGGUGGGGUAGAGGCUUACCAAGGCUUUGACGGGUAGCCGGCCUGAGAGGGUGACCGGCCACAUUGGGACUGAGAUACGGCCCAGACUCCUACGGGAGGCAGCAGUGGGGAAUAUUGCACAAUGGGCGGAAGCCUGAUGCAGCAACGCCGCGUGCGGGAUGGCGGCCUUCGGGUUGUAAACCGCUUUCGCCUGUGACGAAGCGUGAGUGACGGUAAUGGGUAAAGAAGCACCGGCUAACUACGUG
Molecule: ribosomal RNA, 468 nt
Filed under: uncultured bacterium
Lineage: Bacteria
Description: partial 16S ribosomal RNA
Rfam family: Bacterial small subunit ribosomal RNA
Source: RNAcentral